Molecule: ribosomal RNA, 255 nt
Filed under: uncultured bacterium
Lineage: Bacteria
Description: partial 16S ribosomal RNA
Rfam family: Bacterial small subunit ribosomal RNA
Source: RNAcentral
UACGUAGGGUGCGAGCGUUGUCCGGAAUCAUUGGGCGUAAAGAGCGCGUAGGCGGCCCGAUAAGUCCGCUGUGAAAGUCAAGGGCUUAACCCUUGAAUGCCGGUGGAAACUGUCGGGCUAGAGUCCGGAAGAGGCGAGUGGAAUUCCGCGUGUAGCAGUGAAAUGCGUAGAGAUGCGGAGGACACCGAUGGCGAAGGCAGCCCCCUGGGCUGACACUGACGCUCAGGCACGAAGACGUGGGGAGCGGAAACAGGA